UACGUAGGGGGCUAGCGUUGUCCGGAAUCAUUGGGCGUAAAGCGCGUGUAGGCGGCCCGGUAAGUCCGCUGUGAAAGUCGGGGGCUCAACCCUCGGAUGCCGGUGGAUACUGUCGGGCUGGAGUGCGGAAGAGGAGAGUGGAAUUCCCGGUGUAGCGGUGAAAUGCGCAGAUAUCGGGAAGAACACCCGUGGCGAAGGCGGCUCUCUGGGACGGUACUGACGCUGAGACGCGAAAGCGUGGGGAGCGAACAGG
This 253-nucleotide ribosomal RNA is filed under the name uncultured bacterium. Its description in RNAcentral is "partial 16S ribosomal RNA". It matches the Rfam family "Bacterial small subunit ribosomal RNA", at positions 524 to 776 of the family's 1533-position model. The record is from RNAcentral.